This 468-nucleotide ribosomal RNA is filed under the name uncultured bacterium. Its description in RNAcentral is "partial 16S ribosomal RNA". It matches the Rfam family "Bacterial small subunit ribosomal RNA", at positions 28 to 507 of the family's 1533-position model. The record is from RNAcentral.
GACGAACGCUGGCGGCGUGCUUAACACAUGCAAGUCGAACGGAAAGGCCCUGCUUUUGUGGGGUGCUCGAGUGGCGAACGGGUGAGUAACACGUGAGUAACCUGCCCUUGACUUUGGGAUAACUUCAGGAAACUGGGGCUAAUACCGGAUAGGAGCUCCUGCUGCAUGGUGGGGGUUGGAAAGUUUCGGCGGUUGGGGAUGGACUCGCGGGUUAUCAGCUUGUUGGUGGGGUAGUGGCUUACCAAGGCUUUGACGGGUAGCCGGCCUGAGAGGGUGACCGGCCACAUUGGGACUGAGAGACGGCCCAGACUCCUACGGGAGGCAGCAGUGGGGAAUAUUGCACAAUGGGCGGAAGCCUGAUGCAGAAACGCCGCGUGCGGGAUGACGGCCUUCGGGUUGUAAACCGCUUUCGCCUGUGACGAAGCGUGAGUGACGGUAAUGGGUAAAGAAGCACCGGCUAACUACGUG